CCUACGGGAGGCAGCAGUGGGGAAUUUUGGACAAUGGGCGCAAGCCUGAUCCAGCAAUGCCGCGUGAGUGAAGAAGGCCUUCGGGUUGUAAAGCUCUUUUGUCAGGGAAGAAACGGCCGAGGCUAAUACCUUUGGCUAAUGACGGUACCUGAAGAAUAAGCACCGGCUAACUACGUGCCAGCAGCCGCGGUAAUACGUAGGGUGCAAGCGUUAAUCGGAAUUACUGGGCGUAAAGCGUGCGCAGGCGGUUUUGUAAGUCUGACGUGAAAUCCCCGGGCUCAACCUGGGAAUUGCGUUGGAGACUGCAGGGCUGGAGUCUGGCAGAGGGGGGUAGAAUUCCACGUGUAGCAGUGAAAUGCGUAGAGAUGUGGAGGAACACCGAUGGCGAAGGCAGCCCCCUGGGUCAAGACUGACGCUCAUGCACGAAAGCGUGGGGAGCAAACAGGAUUAGAUACCCUGGUAGUCCACGCCCUAAACGACUGUCUACUAGUUGUCGGGUCUUAAUUGACUUGGUAACGCAGCUAACGCGUGAAGUAGACCGCCUGGGGAGUACGGUCGCAAGAUUAAAACUUAAGGAAUUGACGG
RNAcentral lists this ribosomal RNA (585 nucleotides) under uncultured bacterium. RNAcentral's name for it is "bacterial SSU rRNA". It matches the Rfam family "Bacterial small subunit ribosomal RNA", at positions 338 to 916 of the family's 1533-position model. The record is from RNAcentral.